Non-coding RNA from Myotis davidii, 76 nucleotides. Lineage: Eukaryota; Metazoa; Chordata; Mammalia; Chiroptera; Vespertilionidae. The record is from Rfam.
GAGCCACCCUUAUGGGGCAACACUUGCUUCAGUGGGGCUUUGGUGCUCACUGAGUCUGCCCCCUGAGUGUGUCCCU